This is a long non-coding RNA of Eleginops maclovinus (Patagonian blennie), 1299 nucleotides long. RefSeq lists it as uncharacterized. The record is from RefSeq and is a predicted model, not a curated record. Lineage: Eukaryota; Metazoa; Chordata; Actinopteri; Perciformes; Eleginopidae. The transcript is spliced from 3 exons.
UCUGACGUUAACUAACAUGCUAGGUGGCGUCUGCGUAUACUGAGGAUUUUUACAUUUCGGUAUGGUGAGUGAGCGCUUUCUGCUUGUUGUGAAUGAAUACAUAUCACAGGAGAGAUUAAAGGAGUUUUGGAAAACGUUGAGGAGGGCAGCAGGAUAGAGAGGCCGUGUGGACUUUAGCAUUGAGAGUGAAGGAGCAGAGAAGUUGAACCUGGAGCACGACCUCACGUUCAGACAGAAAGGAGCGAUGACCCAACUAUCAAUCAAGAGGAAGACGAAAGCAACAGCUUCUUCCAUUGCAUUCUCAAGGGCCGGCUGUCCCUCAGGCCUGGGAACAGCAGGCGGUUCAGCUCCGCGGGAGCAAAAAUCAGACGAAGAAGAAGAGCUGCUCAACCCAGAACCGGCUGUAAGGAGCAGCUCACUGGGCAGAAUGACUCACAGACAGGGCAUUCAUACACACAUGAUGAUGGCUGCAGCCUGUCUCUCCCACAACCACACCAGGCUGCUGGGCUCAAACGGAUUGACUCCUCGGAUGCUAAAGCGCUGUAGCCUAAUGUUGUGGAAACCGAUGGAGCUCAGUCAUCAGGGUUGAAUGAAACGGUAGACAGAGAUGUGGGAAACAUGUGAGCGAUCUCAUGAAAACAUCAGAGGGAUCAAAUAUAUCAGGUCUGCUGCUUUUAAGUUGGGCCGCCCGGACAGAAGAAAAUGAAUAAAACAUUGGGUCCGAAGUAACAUGGCUGCCAACCAAAUGGGAGGUUUGGAAUUUCUAAGCAAAACAUUUAUUCAUGACCAGCACGGGGAAUGCAAAAUAUUGUUUGGAGGAGAGCGGCUCUGACAGGAAUAGUGAAAUACAAUUGAUGGAUCGCAGCUUUAUUGAUUGGUUAAACACAGAGAUGUAUCUGCCAUUGAAUGAAAUGCAUAUAAAUCAUGAUCAUCAUUUCUUUUCUGUAGGCUAAGAGCCUAUAUGGUAAAAAUGCCAACCCGAAAGGACGUCUUCCCGGCUAAAGAAUGCAUUUGGCCUUCUUCCCCUUUUAUAAUAACUCACAAAAGAUGGUCAAGUCUUUCUAAAUGGGUUAAUGAAAUCUUAGAUUUUACCCCGCUGAGGAAGAGGCUAUCGAUCCCGCUGUGGGGAGGAAAUCCUAUAUCACCAUGCCAGUUCAGAUUAAUCAUUGGACGAGCUGUAUGGCAUUGCUUUGCAUAAUGGAAGCGAUCACACCCUUUCUGAGAGAAGUUUGGAAUAACGAUCAGAGAACCAUCACUCUAAGUCAGAAAACGUGCAGCAGAAAGGGAUGAAAAUAUGUU